UUAUUCUAGAUUAGAAUGGGCACUGUUGAUUGGUGUUCAAAAUUGGUCAAUGUACACAGAUCAUACUUCGUAUUUCUGACACAGUAAAUGUUUACCGCAGUGACAAAGAAGCCUGUAACAUUU
This 123-nucleotide small nucleolar RNA is filed under the name Cavia porcellus (domestic guinea pig). RNAcentral describes it as "Small nucleolar RNA SNORA1 (ENSCPOG00000028758.2)". Lineage: Eukaryota; Metazoa; Chordata; Mammalia; Rodentia; Caviidae. The record is from RNAcentral.